Molecule: unclassified non-coding RNA, 176 nt
Filed under: Bartonella clarridgeiae
Lineage: Bacteria; Pseudomonadati; Pseudomonadota; Alphaproteobacteria; Hyphomicrobiales; Bartonellaceae
Description: partial 16S-23S ribosomal RNA intergenic spacer
Source: RNAcentral
UGAAUAUACCUUCUUCUUCACAAUUUCAAUAGAACAAGCAAAGAGAUCUCUCAAUCUCUUGCAAUAACUAUUCUUCUAACAAUAAUGAUGAACCAAAUUAUGGUGGAGCCGGACGGGAUCGAACCGACGACCCCCUGCUUGCAAAGCAGGUGCUCUCCCAGCUGAGCUACGGCCCC